Molecule: long non-coding RNA, 1928 nt
Organism: Limulus polyphemus (Atlantic horseshoe crab)
Lineage: Eukaryota; Metazoa; Arthropoda; Merostomata; Xiphosura; Limulidae
Exons: 2
Source: RefSeq, a predicted model, not a curated record
GUAGGAAUGGUCAGACAUUGGUGGUUCCCAAUGAACACCAACUGGACAUUAUACUACAAGAUAUCGCAUCUUUUAUUAUACAAGAUCCCCUGAAAAGAUGGCCAUUUUACUCCAGUUCACUUGGUUCUUCUGUAAUAUUUAGACCAAAGCUUUAGACUGUGUAUCAUCUAAUUGUAAUGUGAUUGUUAUGCUGAAGACAGAAUCAGUCGUCCUACACUGAAAAUUCUGCAUAUAACAUGAUUUUGUAUAUAAUUACAGAAAGCUGGAUCUUGAGCUAGUCUGUUAACAAUAUCAACAUCAGUAAAAGAAUUAAACAAAGUAUUUCAGUUACUUGUAUGAUCUGAUAUUAUUGCCUUCAUCCAUAUUGAACAAGAAUUCACUCAUUUUGUCAUGAAUGGUCAAUAACAAGAUCCUUUUGUUAAGUAAUGGUUUUAGUCAUUUUUUUCUUUUACAGUGCUGUAAUUUUGUUGACAAUAUUUGGUAGAAAGCUGUUUCGUCUACCAGUGUUUGCUUUAUUUAUAUUGUUUUUGUUUGUUUGUUUAGUGAGAAUAAACAUGUCCAAUAAAAAAAAUGUUCAUUUAAGUGUGGCUUCCACCAGCUGGGCUCAGCUUUAAAAUGUUAUUCCCCAAGCAGAGUCUUUAUGUUACUAAAUUUUAAUAUCACAGUUAGGAGAUCCUAACGUUUGCUCUGCAGUUUAUUGCAAUGCUCGUAUCAAUCAACUGAUACCAUACUAUGUUGUUACAGUUUUGUUUUUUAUAGAAAUGAGAUGUUUUUUUUUUUCCUUUAUGAUAUUGAAGUUUAAAACAGAUUGCUCUCUAUGUUUUAUGUAGGUUAACAGUUUUAAGCCUCUCUUAAAGUCAGUCAAAAAAACUAUUGCUAGUGUUGUAAAAAUUUGUAAACAAGCUAUUGUGUAUGUAUGUUAAAUGGUUGUGGAUCAUUUGAUUUCCAAAAUAUAUGUGAAUCACAUAACAAUGUAUUACUAAAUUUUAUUUUUUAUUAAAUCAGCUUAAUAUAUAUGUAUAAAUAUAUAAAGUUACUUGGCUUCUUGUAUCCAUUCAUAUGUGAAGUGGUUUAAAUGGCCUGGAUUAAGACUUGUGUGUUUGGUCAGUGUUUGUGAAUUGUUAAAUUGAGUUUGUUUUUGUUGUCAAGGUCAAAAUCUUUAAGAAGGUUCUUGUGAAGUAAAAACUGUAACAUAAAUACCUGCAGUUACUAUUUUGUAUAUAACUAUACUAUUUUCUUUCAGUUUUUUGCAGUAAUCAGAAUUUUAAUUUGUAAUUUUCAUUCUAUAAUCUAAUAUAUAUGUAUACAAAAUUAAAUUAGCCAUCGGUGUGGCACGGUUGUUUUGUAUAGUUCAGUUUGUGUUUCCAAUAUACUAGUGAAAAGUGUAUUUUGAGGAAGUGAGAGAUCCCUUGCUUGAUUUUUAUUACGAUGGCCAGACAGUGAUACUCUAGUCACAUACAAUUUUCUGUAACUUCUGUAAAAAAUGCAAUUGAUCUAUUACUGUUUUGAAUACAGCCUGUAAAUCUGAACUUUUAUGUAAAAGCAUGGAUUAAAGCUAGGAACAGUACAUUUUGGAUUUUGUAAAAUGUUCUCCAUUGGCAUACUUGUAUUAUGAAUGAUAUUACCUGAUUAUUUACCGUAAGGUUUAUUUUACUGUUUUGCAUGACGAUUUUUCAGGAGUAGAUUGUAUACAUUAAAAUAUGGAGACAAGGAGAUCUUAAGAUUGGCGUGUUUGAACUCGGUUUAACUGUCCAUGACUAAAUAGAAGAAGAGGAUUUAGAAGGGUAAUUAAAAUUCACGAUUUAAACUUGUUUUUAAAGUUGAAUACAAAAGUAGCUUGUAGAAACUUUGUUCAUCAAAUUUGAUGUCUUAUAUUUAAUAUUCUCUGUGAAUUGAAGAAGAAAUAAAGUGUUCCAUUUGAAUAUCAA